Molecule: ribosomal RNA, 492 nt
Filed under: uncultured bacterium
Lineage: Bacteria
Description: partial 16S ribosomal RNA
Rfam family: Bacterial small subunit ribosomal RNA
Source: RNAcentral
AGUGAACGCUGGCGGUAGGCCUAACACAUGCAAGUCGAACGGCAGCACAGUAAGAGCUUGCUCUUACGGGUGGCGAGUGGCGGACGGGUGAGGAAUACAUCGGAAUCUACUUUUUCGUGGGGGAUAACGUAGGGAAACUUACGCUAAUACCGCAUACGACCUACGGGUGAAAGCAGGGGAUCUUCGGACCUUUCGCGAUUGAAUGAGCCGAUGUCGGAUUAGCUAGUUGGCGGGGUAAAGGCCCACCAAGGCGACGAUCCGUAGCUGGUCUGAGAGGAUGAUCAGCCACACUGGAACUGAGACACGGUCCAGACUCCUACGGGAGGCAGCAGUGGGGAAUAUUGGACAAUGGGCGCAAGCCUGAUCCAGCCACACCGCGUGGGUGAAGAAGGCCUUCGGGUUGUAAAGCCCUUUUGUUGGGAAAGAAAAGCAGCAGGUUAAUACCCCGCUGUUCUGACGGUACCCAAAGAAUAAGCACCGGCUAACUUCGUG